This 274-nucleotide ribosomal RNA is filed under the name uncultured bacterium. Its description in RNAcentral is "partial 16S ribosomal RNA". It matches the Rfam family "Bacterial small subunit ribosomal RNA", at positions 523 to 796 of the family's 1533-position model. The record is from RNAcentral.
AUACGGAGGGUGCGAGCGUUACUCGGAGUCACUGGGCGUAAAGCGUCCGUAGGCGGUCGGGUAAGUCGGGUGUGAAAACCCCGGGCUCAACCUGGGGAGUGCACCCGAUACUGCUCGACUCGAGUGCGGGAGAGGAUGGCGGAAUUCCCGGUGUAGCGGUGAAAUGCGUAGAGAUCGGGAGGAACACCAGUGGCGAAGGCGGCCAUCUGGCCCGCAACUGACGCUGAGGGACGAAAGCGUGGGGAGCAAACAGGAUUAGAAACCCUAGUAGUCC